UAGCUUUGUGUAAUGGAUUAAAUGAAAUGUACAUUUCUCUUAUGUUAUUUUCUGUAGUUUCUACAAUGAAGGUUAAUUUAAAAUAUUUUUUAAAGGUUACUUGGAAUUGCGUCUGAAGCAACAUGAGCAUCUUCUCCCCUGUGGCUCCUUUAACUCCAGCGAGGACGCCGAAGAGGCGGGGGUGCCAGACACGGCUGACGUCACGGGCAGCCCGAAAUGACAAAGCGGACGGGCCAAUCCCAAGUUCGGAUUCUGCGAGAAGCCAUCCGAUUGGACACGAGUGCGGGCGCCCUUGCCCAAUGGUGGAAGAGGGGCAGGAGCCCGGCGGCCGCGUGGGUUUUAAAUCCAUGUGGCGGCGAGAGGGCGGCGGUGGCUGCGCCUCGUGGGCUUGAGUUCGCUCCUUGGCUGGGGAGGCGUGCGUGGGGGCCGUCGUCCGCGCCGCUUACGGUCCUGGGCCGGUGGCUCCGCCUCGCCGCGCCUAUUUGCGUCAGCAGGUGCCUUAUAGGGUCUUGCGGGGACCUAAUGGCGUUCAUGCAUUCGACAGAGCUUUACUGAGACUCUGCUCUGUGCCAGGCAGGGCCUGGUGGGAUCAGGGAGAACCCACGAAAGACACGCUGUGAAUGCCACGUUUCUGUCAUCUGAGUGUCUUUGUCCGCUCCCAUGAAGGAAGUCCCCAGCUGGGGCCAGGCAUCGGAAGACCAGCCUCCUCUGGGCUGGCACGAAGGCAGCCCCCGGCUGGAAGACCAGAAAAGUCUGGUGGUGGAUGGCAACUCGCGGUCAGUCAAACUGGAUGCACAUCCCAGCUUCACUGCUUACCAGCCGAGUGAUGCUGGGCAAGUUAUGAAUACCUGCUUCCGCUUCCUCUGCAAAAUGGGGAACAGUCCUUCAGAAACUGAGGACCAAGCUGAACAUCACAGCUGCCCAUUCAAGACCUGCUACAUAAUUUGUGGAGCCCAGUGCAAACAAAAAUUGUAGAGCUCCUUGUUCAAAACUUAAGAAUGUCAAGAUGAUGACGGCAGAGCUCAGAGCCCUUCUGAGGGUGAAGUGCCAUGUGACUGCACAUGGCCCACCCCGUGCUCCCACUGGUGGUCCAUGGUCCUGUGUUGUCCUACGGAACCUACGAGGCUGGAUGGGGUCUGCCCAGAGCAGGAGAGAGCCAGGCGAGUAGCCAGCUGGGCCACGCAAAGGGCACCUGCAGGCAUGGUCUGUGUCCAUGCAGCUCGCCUGGGCGGCCUGGCUUGCAGCUCCUAUCCUGCCACCUGCCAUAGAGCUGCCGGCUCUCUGCCCCCUUGCCUUUAUGUUUGUUAUUGUGAUAGAACGUGUAUCUAGAAUAAAGUGCACAAGUCCAAAGUA
Molecule: long non-coding RNA, 1353 nt
Organism: Equus caballus (horse)
Lineage: Eukaryota; Metazoa; Chordata; Mammalia; Perissodactyla; Equidae
Source: RefSeq, a predicted model, not a curated record